CCACUGAUAAAGCACAGAGCAACAAAGGCCACUGCAGCACUCCUUGGCUUCUCUGGGAUUAGAUGGUUUUGGUCACACGGAGCAUCCCUCCCAGAAGCAUUUUCUAUUCAGUCUGUGUUGCAAACUUGUUUGUUUGUUUGUAGGUCCCGUUUCCUUAUUAAGAGAGAAUUUCCGUAUUCUUCCAGAAGGGGAAAUUCUAGGCCAUUAGAAAACCCUGACCGCAACAAUAUAACACACAAUCCGUGAGGUCUUCAAUGACCCGUUUCUUCCUAUAGAACAUGAUCAGGACUAAUGAUGUCAACCGUACUCGAACGAUCCCAGUAUGAGUGAGAAAGUCAUUGCAGUGACCUGAACAACGGGAGGAACAUAAGUUGCUGCUUUGCUGACACAGAAAAUUGUGCGUACCUGUAAGGCUCUGCCAGUGGGCAAUAGCAUGUUGUCCCAGGCAUUCUCCAAGCACAAUAGAACAAUUGUUCCCAGAAACUGAAAAGGAAGAUUGGAGCAGUGGGGAAAUCAUCCCUGGUGGAUGCUAGAUUUCCAAAUGUGCCAGGGAAUUGCUUAGGAGUUUUUUUACUUUGCCUGGAUCCAAGCCAGGCCAGCACCUUGCCGACUAUUUACACGAUAGAUGGACUGAAUUCUAC
This 641-nucleotide long non-coding RNA is filed under the name Gallus gallus (chicken). RNAcentral's name for it is "lncRNA (ENSGALG00010011476.1)". The record is from RNAcentral. Lineage: Eukaryota; Metazoa; Chordata; Aves; Galliformes; Phasianidae.